UACGGGGGGGGCAAGCGUUGUUCGGAAUUACUGGGCGUAAAGGGCUCGUAGGCGGCCAACUAAGUCGGAUGUGAAAUCCCCAGGCUUAACCUGGGAACUGCAUCCGAUACUGGAUGGCUUGAAUCCGGGAGAGGGAUGCAGAAUUCCAGGUGUAGCGGUGAAAUGCGUAGAUAUCUGGAGGAACACCGGUGGCGAAGGCGACAUCCUGGACCGGUAUUGACGCUGAGGCGCGAAAGCCAGGGGAGCAAACGGG
Molecule: ribosomal RNA, 253 nt
Filed under: uncultured bacterium
Lineage: Bacteria
Description: partial 16S ribosomal RNA
Rfam family: Bacterial small subunit ribosomal RNA
Source: RNAcentral